Molecule: long non-coding RNA, 2789 nt
Organism: Betta splendens (Siamese fighting fish)
Lineage: Eukaryota; Metazoa; Chordata; Actinopteri; Anabantiformes; Osphronemidae
Exons: 6
Source: RefSeq, a predicted model, not a curated record
GCUAUGAAUUGUGGGUAAAAUCUGGAAGGGGGUUUACACGUGUGUGUACAUGUGGGAAUGUUAUGGGAUUGUUAGUUUUUGUCCCCACGUUCUGUCCACGGGUGUCCAAUCCUGAACCUCGAGGGCCACCGUCCUUUUUCUGACUUUCCGCCCCAUCUCUGAUCACUUUCACCAGGUGUGUUCAGUCAAUCAGCAGCAAACUGACACACCCGAUCAAGGUGAUCAGCGUGGAGAGUUGGAUUCAACGCCUCUGGUCGAAACAAUCGGAGGCUCCAGGCUCAGGAAACCAGGAAGCACCGAGCUGAGCUGGGGAAUUCCAUCAACGCCCGGCAUCUUCUCACUGGAGGAAGCACAGAGCUGCAAGAAACUGUCUAGACACUGGAGGUCCUGUACUGUAUGUUCUGGCAACGCUCCAAACGCUUUUUUUUUUUACAUCUACACUCUAAAAUAUGUUAAUCUUGUUCAAGAGCUGAUGAUAAAGGAGCAAACGAUUCCAUAUUAUUGCCCUGCCACCUCGGUCUGUCUGCCAAGCAGGUUUGGAGCAAAGGUGGACUCUGGCACCCAGAGAUGGGAGGAAGCGGGACCUGGCCCACAUCGCUGAGGGACACAGCUGGGAACACACUGGCGCCGAUAAUCACCAGCACGUACAGAGAUGUAAAAUCCAAUAGCGGAGCUUCUUCAGUUUCCAGUGAGGGCUCCCCGACCGGCCCGUCCGGUGCUGCCCGCGAGUCCAUGCUUCGUGAUUGUACUGUAGACUGAAAAGCUCCUUCGCUACAGAUCCUGAGAAGAACAUCCGCCGUGAGUCCACCUUCUCCUUUUUAAAAAAGUUGACAAAUCUUAAAAACCGUACAAACACUCACAGCAACAAUAGACCAACGCAGGCAAACGAUACAACAGUCAGAGCAGUGACCACUGCUGUCUGCAGCCACAAGGGUGCAGCCCUCACACUCCACUAUCAAACAUGUUGGCAGGCACAGGAUGCUACUGAUCGCAGUCCGUUCUGAAUCCGUCGUCGUCCAGGUUUACGUUAGGGACUGAAAUCACUGCUAUCUUUAAUCGUCUGAUAUGCUUCUGAGGUUUUUCUACUCAAUGCUACAAUGAAGAGAAACAAGUAAGGAAACAUGUUGCGUAAUUAAAAAACAAAUAGCUUAUGAGUCCUAUACAGUGUAUGCGAUAUAGUCUAAAAUACAAAAAUAGAUGAUUUGAAAAUAAAUCUAAACAUAGAAAAAAUAUAAAUAACACUUAGGCCACAAGCCCAUGCUUUAGUUUGGUUUGUUCAGACAAUGGACAUUUGCAUAAACUUUACAUUUCCCUCCUGUGUUUCUUCUGAGCAGAAACAGGCUUGAUGGAGUCUGUCAUUCUGUUGGUGCUGAUGAAUGGUUGAUGGAGGACAGGUUUCACGUGGGAAUGCUGGGUCGGGUGCAGAGGUCACCACACGGAGCAUUUGUCCACAGGGUGCAUUGGGGACCCCUUGGGGCAGUGGAACACGCGGGCAAACUCAUCGAACUGGGAAACGCUGCCGAUCACUCUGCAGGAGAGGACGAACCAAUGAAUGAAAGCACACGUGAUGGCUGUGAUGGAGUCUGGGGACGCUGUGGUGAACGUUAUGCAGCGUGUAUCAUCAAGUGUGACCAGUUUGGUGGGUCUGGGGAGGCAAAUCCUUGGAGGCCCACACAGACAUCCAUGGUGUAAAGGGUUCGGCUGCUGAGGCGCUGGGAUAAGACCCCCACCACACUUGGACUGACGUCCUGCUCUGGUGUGAGCCAGUUCCAGAAGGACAAUCCUUGAUGCCACUGACUGAACCUUACCAUGCCCUGACUCCACCUAAUGCAGGCGUGUGUGUGUUUUCUGUAUAUCUCACUACCUCGCACAUAUAAUAAUGGAAUAUUGCUUGCUCAGAAACAGGACUUUUGAAGACAAACACUUAAAACUACUGUAAGUGUAUGUUCUUGCCACUUUGUGGAACAAAUAGGGAAGGUUAAACUCUUGAAGCAGCUGAGAGCUUUGCACCAGUUAGAUACUUAAAACAUAAUUGAAUUGAGGAAGCUUGGAGGUCGGCCUGCUGUGGGAUUUGCAGACUUAACUUGUCCCAUUUCAUCUAAAGACAGAGGCGGUGGAAUUGUCUGUCUUAUCAUCCAAGAAGCUUUUCAUGCAUUCUGGACACAUGAAAUAUCAACAUGAUUUUCAUAUUUCUUCUGGGUUAAAACAGAAAAGCUAGAUCACUAGAAAUGGUUUUAAAAUGUGUCUAGAUGCUGCUACUGGUGUACUUUGCGCUGGAUUGCACGGCCACUGAAUUUAAAUGAGUGGUAAUAGUUACAGGAGCUGCGGUGGUCCGGUGCUUCGGGGCUUUACUGUCAUCAACACUGUGCUGUUUCUGAUCCUUCCAGUGGUUAAUGCCUCCAUCAGCUAACAUUAGAUAAUGCAUACCUCCUACCUGCUCUCUGGGACUGGUCUCCAGCUGCGAGAGGCAGCAAAAACAAUGUAACUUGUGAAAGUAAUGAAAAACAGUCAAGCUUCUGUACCUGUGCAAAGGCAAUGAAGAGCAGCUGUUCAUGAGUGUAUUUGAGCCCAGGCAGCGGCCUCUCUGGGCCAUGCUCCCUCACCCACUUCUGAUAUGCCUGGACACAGACACAAGAGGGUAUUAGCUGGGUGAUGAAACCAUCUAUUUCUAUUUAAAAGCAUUCAUUCAUUCUGUACUUUCUACACAAAGUAUAGUAUGGAAAUAAGCUGUGCUGCAUCCCAGACCGGUACGUCUGUUUGUGUAAAUUAAAUGGUUUAUGAAGAACAGA